Long non-coding RNA from Dicentrarchus labrax (European seabass), 374 nucleotides. RefSeq lists it as uncharacterized. The record is from RefSeq and is a predicted model, not a curated record. The transcript is spliced from 2 exons. Lineage: Eukaryota; Metazoa; Chordata; Actinopteri; Moronidae.
AACAUCGUAAUGGGGACUGGAGGAAACUGACAGGUCCGGAACACCAGGAGAAACUGUGACAGCCGGGAACAGAUCACACACGUUUCUGUUCAUACCUGAGUAUCAUGAUGUAGGAGGGGGUCUGUGAGAAGGCGGCGAUGAAGGCGGUGAUGCCCAGCAGGGCCAUGAAGGGGGGCAGGAGGUGGGAACAUCCGCUGCCGCACGUUCCCGGAGACGCAAAGCCGAGACCACCGACACACCGACACUCAGUGUAGUUCUACAACAACAGACACAGUCAGGAUACAGGCAGAGACAGCGCCCCCAACAGAAGAAGUACCCAACCUUUUUCAUUAAGAGACCCCCUUUCUAUCAUUUAUUAAACUGACUCAGUGACA